AAACCAGCACCUCAAGUGGUCAGGAGGAUUAUUGGGCCUAAAGCAUCCGUAGCCUGCUGUAUAAGUUUUCGGUUAAAUCCAUGUGCUCAACACAUGGGCUGCCGGGAAUACUGUACAGCUAGGGAGUGGGAGAGGUAGACGGUACUCGGUAGGAAGUGGUAAAAUGCUUUGAUCUAUCGAUGACCACCUGUGGCGAAGGCGGUCUACCAGAACACGUUCGACGGUGAGGCACGAAAGCGUGGGGAGCAAACAGGAUUAGAUACCCGAGUAGUCC
This 274-nucleotide ribosomal RNA is filed under the name uncultured bacterium. Its description in RNAcentral is "partial 16S ribosomal RNA". It matches the Rfam family "Archaeal small subunit ribosomal RNA", at positions 473 to 747 of the family's 1478-position model. The record is from RNAcentral.